This 439-nucleotide ribosomal RNA is filed under the name uncultured bacterium. RNAcentral's name for it is "bacterial SSU rRNA". It matches the Rfam family "Bacterial small subunit ribosomal RNA", at positions 351 to 782 of the family's 1533-position model. The record is from RNAcentral.
GCAGUGGGGAAUUUUGGACAAUGGGCGCAAGCCUGAUCCAGCAAUGCCGCGUGUGUGAAGAAGGCCUUCGGGUUGUAAAGCACUUUUGGCGGGAACGAAACGGUUGGGGCUAAUAUCCCUGGCUAAUGACGGUACCCGCAGAAUAAGCACCGGCUAACUACGUGCCAGCAGCCGCGGUAAUACGUAGGGUGCAAGCGUUAAUCGGAAUUACUGGGCGUAAAGCGUGCGCAGGCGGUUAUGCAAGACCGAUGUGAAAUCCCCGGGCUCAACCUGGGAAUUGCAUUAGUGACUGCAUGGCUAGAGUGUGUCAGAGGGGGGUAGAAUUCCACGUGUAGCAGUGAAAUGCGUAGAGAUGUGGAGGAAUACCGAUGGCGAAGGCAGCCCCCUGGGAUAACACUGACGCUCAUGCACGAAAGCGUGGGGAGCAAACAGGAUUAGA